CACUUCUUGGUCACUGUAUGCCAUACUUGUAGCUAAAGGCCUGCUUCUAGACCCGUAUUGCUACACGCAGACUUGUUUCUCACCUGAGAAAUGGGCACGAUGAUUCUUCCAUGCCUCCUAGGGGCAUGCUGAAGAAAAACAUAUUAAGUUAUCCUGACCUCCUAUCUUUAUGAUUAUUGUGUGUGGUCAGUGCACAUAAACUGGAUGGGUGCAUGUAGCAAAGCCACGUGAGAUGUUAAGGUGGUCUUCCUGGCUACGUGACAGCUCCUCAUUAACAAAUGCUCAGUGGUCACUUUGACUGGAGACUAGGGGCAGAGCCUGCAUUUCCCUGAUUGCCCAGGAGAGACCAUACCUCUUAAGAGCAGGGAAAUGUCUCCUCGGGGGCUGGUGUCCCAUGGGGAGCAGUCGGACUCCAUCCAGUGCAUCUAUGUAGCGGUCACUUGUAAUCAUUGCUAAUCUAAUGAGAGUAAUAGGAAGGCAUGGAGUCCAGCAGAGAUUUAUUGGUCUGAGGGGAUACCACUGACAGAGACAAAGCAAGGGACAAUGUUUCCCAGAAAUAAAUGCUGACAUUUAUGGAAACAUAGAGUAUACGUCCACAUCUAUUUUGAGUGUUUGCGUGAGAGCUACCUGGUAAGCCUCCAUUAUGGGUAUAUUUCCUAAAGGGUAAUAAGUUUUUCUCUUAAGCUAAUAUUCUAAAGGGAUGGAUUAAAUUAAAGGUUCAUUUAAAAACUAUUUCUUUUCUCCUGGAAGGUGAAUAAUAGUUUUCACUUGCACUGCUGCAGCCCUUCAUAACAUGUUUUAUUUGCAUAUAUGAUUUGGUUAGCUGGCGUUACUUCAAACUUCAUAUUAUUCAUUUUUGGUGGUUAAAGAACAAUCUGGGCCCUGAUCCUUUACAUUAAUCUCAUAAAUUAAUCACACUGGAUAAAAUCUUGUCUUCACUGAUGUUGACAGCAAAACUGCCAUGGAUGUCAUCUGGGUCAGUGUUUCACCUGCUCCUCGUGUGCUUAAAUGCACACCUGAGUCCCUGUUUCACUGACAUGCUGUGUGCUAGGGCUCUCCGUGGGUUCAGCCAGCAACUCCUGCCCUCCAAUAGAGAUGUGAAGACCUCAGGAGAUAGACUGUUGAAAAAUCAAAGUCCUAUUGCAAAAAUACUGAGCUGUUUUUCACCUUCCAGGAGCUGAACAGGUUAAAGGAGUGAAAUCCAGGCUGCCCACACCACUUGCACGUAAUGGUUACUCAGGGAUGGAAGCUGGGCUGAGUCCUUCCCAAAGGUUGUGCGUGAAGGGCAGCGACUGCAUCCGAGUGGCAGGAGUCUCCGUGCUCAAAGCAGAGAUCAUCUUCCCAGCACCACCUGGCUACUCUGCAAAUUAAUCUUUGGACGCCUGAAGAUGGGCACCCAGAAAAUGAGGCAUGCAGGCUGAAGAGGGGAGGUUGCCAAUCCCUUAUAAAAACAAGAACAGUGACAUGAACUGCCUUCAGUUCUUGUAAAGAUAAAUAAAAGAGAAGAAAUGCAAAGAAGCGGCGAUCUGAUGGUUGCUUUAGUUCCCUGAAAUUCCUAUGGCGGAACAUUUGGGAGAAGGAGAGACUUGCUAUUAGUCAACUGUAUUGAUUUCUGCCACUAAGGAAAGCGGGAGAAAAAAAUAUUUACUGUGCUAAACCGCUGGAGCUUUCAACCAGUUCAUAUUGAAAAUUGUCUCAUAUGGACUUCCCUCCGUGGCUUUUCCUCUGCGGAAGGCAAGACUGGAAGAGGCAUCAACGCAGAACAAUGAGAGGCAGUUCCUGUGUGCCCGCCGGCCUCUGCAAGGGAAACGCACGCUCUGCCGGAGGAGCUGCCUCCUCCUUGCCGUGAGCAACGGGUCACGAAGAUGUUUGCAGAAUCACGGCAGAUCAACAUUGCAGGGAUGCUCUUACUGCAGGAAGACAGAAAAUAAAAUUACUGCAUGGGCCUUUGGAAGACACCUGAGUUAUCUUGAUGGUGGGCACAUUUCUCAACUGCAACCCUCUAGACACAAGAUUUUGGUCAAACUUGCAGCUGAGCUGACAGAGGAGCCCUGGAGAGCCCCUUGGUGCCCCUGCCUUGGAUUGACUGGAGCGCUUUGGAUGGUUUCCUCUUGAAAAGAUCUGCAGAAGUAUGUACUUGGAUCACUGAAAAAGUGCAGUUCUCAAGGAUGCUGACCAACUCAUUAUUCUUUGUUCUGAUCCAGCUGAAAGAUUUUCAGCCUACGGUUCAUUUCCAAACAAACAAAACCAAAAAAGCCUGAACAGAGUUGAGUCUAGAGUCUAAGUCCAAGUUAAUGAAGCUGCCUCAAAGUCAAGGAGGGAGAGAAUAAACCACAGCUCUGAGGCACAGACCACUGGAGAUUCCUCUUUCAAAACCUGCCUGUGCUGCUCACUGGAGUUAUUCGAUUUGGGAACAAGAUAAGAAUUCACAGCAUCUGAUUUGUAGAAAUAACCCAGAGGAGGGAAAAACAGCCAGAAAUACUAAUUUCAGAUAUCAUUUUCAUCUGUCAGUUUCCUAAUAGUCUUUCUGAGCACUAAUAGCAUUAACCAAAUAUAAGGCUCAGACUUUGGGGAGGUUGUGCACUGACUGACAAAUGCAUUUCCAAAUAGCCCACAGUUCAGCAGUUCUUAUUCUGUCAAUACUGCAUGACCAGGGAAGGUUUGGAGCAUAAUUCUCUCCCAGUUAUUCAUCUUUUCUCUUUCUCUUUUUUUUUCCCCUGAGUAAGAAAUACACCUGGCAAUUCAUUGCUGAUUUCCCAGGAGUGUUAUUCAUGCCAGUUUAUUUAUGUAUUUAUUAUUCAAGUGCAAACUUACGAAGUUCUUUGUGGUAAUCUGCAAAUCAAACUGAUGAAGGCAGAAGGCUGGCCUUUAAAGCAAGUGCUAUAGAGGCAAAGGCAGGCAUUUUGGCUGCCAUUGUGCUGUGGCGCGGGAUUGUGAGGAGCAAUUAGGGGGUUGGACCCGAUGAUCUUUCGAAGCCCCUUCCAACCCCUACAAUUCUGUGAUUCUGUGAAUUCAUCCUGCCUGAGACCCAGGCCCAGGCCCUGGCUAGAGUUGCUAGACACAUGUAGUCACCAUGCUUAAAUUAAGCAAGCUCUCUGCUAUAAGAGCUUAGUUUUGGCAAAGCAACAACUGCUGCUGUUGAAUGCAUAGGUGUCAUCUUCAUUUUUGAGUGCUGGUAAUGUAUCGUUUGCAAGAAAUGGGAAUAUAUUUAUGCCUAACUCCUUCACUCACUCAGAAUUUGGGCUUCAGAUUUAAUAAAAUUAAAGUCAAGGUGCAGUGUGCAGGGGCAGGGCCUUUUAUCCACGGCAUCCUUGCCCUGGGGUGAUGGUGCAACCAGGAAUUUUGGUGCAGACUUUGAUGGUGACCCCUUACAACUGAAGAGGACAACCCGAGGAAGGUUUGUGAGAAACAAAGACUGGGUGGCCUGGAUGCGUAUCCUGUCUUACCAGCAAAUCCAGUGUUCAAGAUUGUUUGCAUAACCAAUUCCAGCUUUGGCUCACUUCUGUUCUGAAUAAGCAGUUAAGCAGUUUGGAUAUUUUUCAGUUCCCCGUGGGCUGGCAGAGGAAAGAUAAGCAACACAGAGAGAGGACUGAGCGAUGUGAUCUGUUUAACUUCUGUUAGCCUAUAUGGAUGCACCUCCCUAAAGGUGGUAAAGUGAAGCCAGAUUCAUUCUCAUUGCUGACCAGCGUGCCAGGCAGAAAACCUUUGGAGUACUCCUUUCAUGGGGAGAAAAUGUUCAGUUCUUCAAGCACCCAACCCGUCUGCUGCCUUCUUUACCCUUCAAAAUAUCUGCAGAAGUUUUGAGUAGAUUAGAAACAGAUUAGAGCUGUCACCUGAAAACUGAGAGCACUCUGAACCUUGUGUGGGUUCCAGCUUGAGGGGGCCUGCAGCUGAUACAGGAGGGACUGGGGUGACAUCCAAGCAUUUCAAACCUCCCCAGACCCCCUGCUAUACUCUGCGAGUGGGUGCUAAUGCUCUGCUGCACUGCAGACUCUCCCUACAGAAGUCCCCAAAUGUAUAGUUAGCACCCAAAAUCACACCAGCUAGUGCAUCUGACUUCCAUCAGCAGGUUUGUGGCCAUGAUUUAUUUAUUUUUCUUCCAUCUGCAUGUGAUUUUAGAACAUGACAGAAGCCUGAAAUGGAGACAAACAACCUUCAGAUUCAUUUUCUCUCACACUCAUGGACACAUGCAAGCUUAUAUAAAAAAUAAUUGACCACAGUGGAAAGGUACAGUGUUAAUCCUUUUAAAAAGGCAGAUAUUUGGUUAAUGCCAGCACUUCAGAGGCCCAGACGAGAGUGCAUCCCCCUGAUGAAAGUAGCCUCCAAGCACAAGGUACGAGACGGCUCCUGCCCCCAGGAAUUUGCUGUCUCCACUCUUAACCCGCAUGAAAGGAGUGUAUUAUGCCUGUAGAAUGCACAGGGCUGACCAGGAAACUGAGAGUAGACCCAGGAUCUCCAUCCUGAUACCCUGCAUGGAUGGUGAAAUUUUCCAUUUCUGUUCUCAUAAAUUGAAAGAACAAAGCUUCUGCAAUCAAGGACCUGCUACUUCUGGUACUCUUGGAAGAAAAAAGCAGGAUUUCUACCUAGGACUUGUUUACUUUGUGCCUGAGCUGUUCCCAAGCUUGAUUUCUUCUUCGGUGUUCUUUCUUUCUCUCUCUCUCUCUUUUUUUUUUUCUUUCUUUUUUUUUUUUUUUUUUAACCUCGAAAAUCUGUUUGCACCAUGAGAGCCUGUUGACUUAACAGAAAUUUCUCCAGAAGCUGAAAGAAACUCUGAAAACAAUGUGAAGUGAAACUCCCACCGACUGCAAUGGGCAAUUUUAGAAAUGUUGAUGAAGAAACAGUUUCACCUUCUAUCUGAGGAUGAAGAGUCACAAACUCCCCAAAUUCAGUUCUGGUCACAGAGCUGGUGCUCAGCCUAAGAGAAGAGUUGCCAAUGACUCAACGUGAGUUGAAAAGAUGGAGCUUCAUCAGCUGGAACUACAUCAGUGGAAACAACCUUGCUUUUCCAAAGGUGGUCUGAUGUUCAAACACUAACUCCAAUCCACUGCAUCUUGCAAAACUUCACAAGGUCAUUCUGAGGAGCAGAAAGGCUUUAAAUGAAUCCUGCACAGAAUUUUGUGGAAGUGACCACCAUCUUCAGAAUGUGCACAGAUGCAUAAGAUUGACGGAAGUGAGGCAACCUGUGAUUUGUCCUGGAGGUAUACUGAGAAAAAAAGACAGGAACACUGAACAGAAUUUCUACAGUAGCACUGCCAGCAUUACUUGAAGAUUUAGCAAUAUCAGGGAACUGUAUAAGGGAUGGCAGCUCAUCUUCUUCCGGAAGACAUCUUAAGAAUUUAUAUUGCAUUCUUUCAUUGAGGUACAUAUAACCAGAGGGAGAUGGCUACUUUCAAACUACAGAACCUAUAUUUGACUUCCAAGGUACAGCUUAUGUGCUUGCGCUGCUGAUCCCACAGUGCCAUGUUCAUAAGUCUUCUUUCGACUGCACUAUACAACUCCUCCGAAAGGCAUCAUGGCUGCAGUGUCAGGAUUGAAUUAAAACAUCAUAAAGAGGUGCUUCCCUGAGAACUAAUAAAAUCAAGUUCAGUGCAAGAAAAGUUCUACAUGAUCCCUUUGGCCUCCGAUGUUUUUCAAAAGAAAAAAAAAAGUUGCUUAUUCCUCACUUUUAAGCAAAUGAUCACUUGGACUGGAAUUUAUUUCAGAGCAUCGCUGUGAACAUUCUUGUUCAAGAGGCUCAAACCAUCCAAUAAGACUAUGAGGGUUUUUUACAGUCUUUCUUGAUCAGAGGAAAAAAGGGAAGAGAUACAGGAAUACAGUCCAUGGUGGAAAUGCCCAGCCACUGUUGAGAUGUUUUGAUACAGCCUGGUGGCUUUCAUGCCUCCAGUGUAAGAUGAACAACUGCAGACAUAAAACACUUUCAACAAUUUUCUGUCCAUUUCCUGAAAUGAAGGGAGGAAGGAAGGAAGGAAAAAGCCCUACAACAAAUUUUUCGGUGUUCUGCUAAUGACAUAUAUUACCUACUUAUAGUGGAUGCCUUGGAACUAAAUAGGCUACAAUUUAAUACCUGGAAAUACCCUCUCCGGAACAACUCUCUUCUAGGAAUACCAUAGAACAGGUCCCAGAAUCACAGAAUGGCUGAGAUUUGAAGAGAUCUCUGGAAGUCAUCUGGUCCAAAUCCCUUCUCAAGGAGGGCCACCUAGAACAGGCUGCCCAGGUCCAUGUCCAGGUGGCUUUUGAAGAUCUUCAAGAAGGAGACCACAGCCUCUCUGGGCAACCUGUGCCAGUGCUCCAUCAGCCACACAGUAAAGACGUGUUUCCUGAUGUUUGGAUGGAACGUCUUGUGUGCUAGUUUGUGCCCAUCGCCUCUUGUAAUUUAUAUAUUGGUAAAAUUUCAAGGUAUUAAGAGUGCUGGUAGUAAGAGAAACCAGACACCAUAGAAGUAUGGUUCUGUUCUCCAUUUAACCCACAGUAUCUUCAUUCUGGAAAACGUAAUUUCAAAAGAUGACAUUUUCACUUGAGCAACAUGGUUAGGAGUGGGCCUGAUUCUGCUUUAAGUUGGUGCAAUUUCAAGGAGAUAAUCCUGAUUUAUACUCAGGUAACCGAGAGGAAAAUCAGAUCCAUUAUAUCCAUAAGAGCAAUCAUAUAAUAAAAGAGCUGGAGUUUUAAACUGUCAUUACAGCCAAGACAAAUAGAUUUUCUUGUCACCCAUCCUCACAGCCUCUGACAGCUCAGAGCUCUGGUGGAUGGGUUUUUGAACUGGAAGAUGAUAGGAACAUGCUAUGAAAACACCACAGAGUGUCUUUUUGGCAUUUUACCUUUUCCUCUGGUCUUCGUUUUAUCAUCAUAAUCUAGAUAAGAAACAGCAGUGCACAGUAUGAGUAGCAUUUUGAUGUCAUGCAGGCUGCUGAAGAAGUGGAAGAUACAGCCUAGUUCAAGUGUCAGACAUGCAUCGGCAAGAUUAAUUUACAGCGAAGUCAGAAAUCUGAGUAGGUUUGAAUUACGCUCCUCCAUAGUACAAAAAAAGAUUGCACUAUGAAAAUUGAUGUGGCAUAGUGCAGAGGUGAAAGAAGAAAUUGGUUUCUUUUUACUUUAAGGAUAGCAUCGGAGUCUAGUAUUAAACCAAGCUAGUAUGAUUACCUAAUACUGGCAUUAGAAGACAAAAAAUAUUCAUCUUCUUCUGGUCAUGCCAAAUUCCCCUUUUCUUUAAUUGCUCUGGGGAAAUAUGGAUUUACACCUGAACCAAUAAAAGCAGGAUGAACUUCUUUUCAACACGUAAGAAGAGAAGAGACACAGACCACUCUGCAAAGCAGAAGGAAAAAUUGCAAAGUAAUUUUCACCAGCAAAACACAUUUUACCCUCCAGUAUGAAGCAAUGGGGAACAGCAAUCAAAAUUGAUUGUUCCAGUUAAAAGUCUGCAUCAUGAUGUUACCGAAAAAGUAGCAUGAUGAGCUCAGCUUUUCUGACAACGUGUCGCAGUAAAUAUAGACAGGAGCCUGUUAAGAUUAAAGAGUUCUUUGGCACAUCAUACAUUUUCUUGAUUCACUGUGCAUCAUUAAGCUUUCUCUUUUUAUGAUGCUUUGUUUAUUUCAUGGACAAGCCAUUAAAUUCAAAUUACAUCUUGAAGGAAAUUUACUUCUUUUGGGUCCUUCUGUGGAAAGCUCUCAUUAUCUGUAUUUGUAUUUCUAAUGCAGAUGAAUGGGUCAGAUCUUAAUAGCAGGUCAGACAGGUGAGGUGGUUGUAGACAUCAAUAACACUACGCUUUUUUGCUUUAGCUGCUCAGCUUCUACUUUUUCUUUGCAGAAUCUCCAAAUAUUUAUGUAGAUAUGUAAAUCAGGGUAAUAAAAAUGAUAGAAAACCUUUUUUUUUUUUUUUUCCUCCAGCUCCUGUGCCAUAAUUUUAAUGUUUUAUUGCUGAUUACAGUGACGUUAAAUAGUCAGUAAAACAAGUAUAUCUGCAUCACACAGUAUGUAAACAGCAUUUCAGAUGGCUAAGAUGUUUCAAUUUUUUCAGUUGUAUGAUAUUCAAAAUUGUAUCUUUCUUUAGAAUCCCUUUACUUCUUUGGCUGCUCAAUGGUCAUGAAUUUUAUGAGUAAAAGGCUAGAGCUGUGUAAUCAAAUUUAUUAUACAGAAGUAGAAAGGCUUUACUUGCCAUUAAUUUGGAGAGAAAUUGUGUCACUAAGUCUCUCCUUUCAUUGAAAGAUAAUCAUUUUGUAACAUUUAAUAAAAUGCAAAGGUAAGUGCUCAA
Anas platyrhynchos (mallard) is the source of this 8244-nucleotide non-coding RNA. The record is from RefSeq and is a predicted model, not a curated record. Lineage: Eukaryota; Metazoa; Chordata; Aves; Anseriformes; Anatidae.